This 641-nucleotide ribosomal RNA is filed under the name uncultured yard-trimming-compost bacterium. RNAcentral describes it as "bacterial SSU rRNA". It matches the Rfam family "Bacterial small subunit ribosomal RNA", at positions 38 to 671 of the family's 1533-position model. The record is from RNAcentral.
GGCGGCGUGCCUAACACAUGCAAGUCGAGCGGUAACAGGUGUAGCAAUACAUGCUGACGAGCGGCGAACGGGUGAGUAAUGCUUCGGAAUCUGCCCAAUGGUGGGGAAUAACUAGCCGAAAGGUUAGCUAAUACCGCAUACGACCUACGGGUGAAAGCAGGGGAUCGCAAGACCUUGCGCCGAUGGAUGAGCCGAAGUCGGAUUAGCUAGUUGGUAGGGUAACGGCCUACCAAGGCGACAAUCCGUAGCUGGUCUGAGAGGACGACCAGCCACACUGGGACUGAGACACGGCCCAGACUCCUACGGGAGGCAGCAGUGGGGAAUAUUGGACAAUGGGGGCAACCCUGAUCCAGCGACGCCGCGUGUGUGAGGAAGGCCUGCGGGUUGUAAAGCACUUUUAGUGGGGAUGAAAAGCCUAGGGCUAAUACCUCUGGGUCUUGACCUAACCCACAGAAAAAGCACCGGCUAACUCUGUGCCAGCAGCCGCGGUAAUACAGAGGGUGCAAGCGUUAAUCGGAAUUACUGGGCGUAAAGCGUGCGUAGACGGUUAUGUAAGUUAGGUGUGAAAGCCCCGGGCUCAACCUGGGAAUUGCAUUUAAGACUGCAUAGCUAGGGUACGGAAGAAGGGAAGCGGAAUUUCC